AUUGAACGCUGGUGGCAGGCCUAACACAUGCAAGUCGAACGGUAACAGGAAGAAGCUUGCUUCUUUGCUGACGAGUGGCGGACGGGUGAGUAAUGUCUGGGAAACUGCCUGAUGGAGGGGGAUAACUACUGGAAACGGUAGCUAAUACCGCAUAACGUCGCAAGACCAAAGAGGGGGACCUUCGGGCCUCUUGCCAUCGGAUGUGCCCAGAUGGGAUUAGCUAGUAGGUGGGGUAACGGCUCACCUAGGCGACGAUCCCUAGCUGGUCUGAGAGGAUGACCAGCCACACUGGAACUGAGACACGGUCCAGACUCCUACGGGAGGCAGCAGUGGGGAAUAUUGCACAAUGGGCGCAAGCCUGAUGCAGCCAUGCCGCGUGUAUGAAGAAGGCCUUCGGGUUGUAAAGUACUUUCAGCGGGGAGGAAGGGAGUAAAGUUAAUACCUUUGCUCAUUGACGUUACCCGCAGAAGAAGCACCGGCUAACUCCGUGCCAGCAGCCGCGGUAAUACGGGGGGUGCAAGCGUUAAUCGGAAUUACUGGGCGUAAAGCGCACGCAGGCGGUUUGUUAAGUCAGAUGUGAAAUCCCCGGGCUCAACCUGGGAACUGCAUCUGAUACUGGCAAGCUUGAGUCUCGUAGAGGGGGGUAGAAUUCCAGGUGUAGCGGUGAAAUGCGUAGAGAUCUGGAGGAAUACCGGUGGCGAAGGCGGCCCCCUGGACGAAGACUGACGCUCAGGUGCGAAAGCGUGGGGAGCAAACAGGAUUAGAUACCCUGGUAGUCCACGCCGUAAACGAUGUCGACUUGGAGGUUGUGCCCUUGAGGCGUGGCUUCCGGAGCUAACGCGUUAAGUCGACCGCCUGGGGAGUACGGCCGCAAGGUUAAAACUCAAAUGAAUUGACGGGGGCCCGCACAAGCGGUGGAGCAUGUGGUUUAAUUCGAUGCAACGCGAAGAACCUUACCUGGUCUUGACAUCCACGGAAGUCUUCAGAGAUGAGAAUGUGCCUUCGGGAACCGUGAGACAGGUGCUGCAUGGCUGUCGUCAGCUCGUGUUGUGAAAUGUUGGGUUAAGUCCCGCAACGAGCGCAACCCUUAUCCUUUGUUGCCAGCGGUCCGGCCGGGAACUCAAAGGAGACUGCCAGUGAUAAACUGGAGGAAGGUGGGGAUGACGUCAAGUCAUCAUGGCCCUUACGACCAGGGCUACACACGUGCUACAAUGGCGCAUACAAAGAGAAGCGACCUCGCGAGAGCAAGCGGACCUCAUAAAGUGCGUCGUAGUCCGGAUUGGAGUCUGCAACUCGACUCCAUGAAGUCGGAAUCGCUAGUAAUCGUGGAUCAGAAUGCCACGGUGAAUACGUUCCCGGGCCU
This 1363-nucleotide ribosomal RNA is filed under the name uncultured bacterium. RNAcentral's name for it is "bacterial SSU rRNA". It matches the Rfam family "Bacterial small subunit ribosomal RNA", at positions 28 to 1381 of the family's 1533-position model. The record is from RNAcentral.